CCUACGGGAGGCAGCAGUAGGGAAUUUUCCACAAUGGACGAAAGUCUGAUGGAGCAACGCCGCGUGAGUGGUGAAGGGUUUCGGCUCGUAAAACUCUGUUGUUGGAGAAGAACGGGUGGUUGAGUAACUGUUGACAUCGUGACGGUAUCCAACCAGAAAGCCACGGCCAACUACAUGCCAGCAGCCGCGGUAAU
RNAcentral lists this ribosomal RNA (194 nucleotides) under uncultured Lactobacillus sp. RNAcentral describes it as "partial 16S ribosomal RNA". It matches the Rfam family "Bacterial small subunit ribosomal RNA", at positions 338 to 524 of the family's 1533-position model. The record is from RNAcentral. Lineage: Bacteria; Bacillati; Bacillota; Bacilli; Lactobacillales; Lactobacillaceae.